This is a non-coding RNA of Stegodyphus mimosarum, 73 nucleotides long. The record is from Rfam. Lineage: Eukaryota; Metazoa; Arthropoda; Arachnida; Araneae; Eresidae.
ACCUUCGUGGCGUAGUGGUCAGCACGCUCGACGCGUAUUCGAGAAUUCCGUGGUUCGAAUCCCAGCGAGGGCA